Molecule: long non-coding RNA, 1501 nt
Organism: Capsicum annuum
Lineage: Eukaryota; Viridiplantae; Streptophyta; Magnoliopsida; Solanales; Solanaceae
Exons: 4
Source: RefSeq, a predicted model, not a curated record
GUUAAUAGACGCAUAUCCUAUGAGUAUUUUAUUAGCUUGUUAUGUCAGCAUUCCUCAUUGAGAUGUUGCAGUUUCAGUUUUACAAAGCUAAAUGCUUUUAGUUGGAGUAGAACUAAAUGCUUUUAGUUGGAGUAGAGCAUUCUAGGUGUAAAGAAAGGGUGGCAUAUCACGACCAUUUCCUCUUUGCAAUAACUUUUUCCUUUUGGAAUAAAUUCAGCUUUCAAGUUGAUUGUAAAAGCAAAUAAGAUUGCAGUAAAUGGCAUCAACAUGAAACAAAAAGAGAGAUAUCAGUGGUAUGAGACAUAGAACUUAGAUAGCUAGACAAAAAUUAUCCAUUAUUUAGCUUAACAGAUUAUACCAGCUAUUAUACACCUAUAGUUGUGUGUAUGCCAUUUUAUAAGAUGUAAAAAUUUUUUGUUCUUUCAAUUAUUAAUGUAGAGACAAAGAGCUGAUGCAACAUGCUUACCAGGUGAAAGUUAUAUCUGAAAAUGGACUGACUUAUUUCUUAAUUGGUGAAAUUUUCAUGCUUAGCAAUCUUUCCAUAAGAGUUAUCAUAUUGGUCAAAAACUUUCCAAUAUAUCUGAUGAGUUAAUUGAGUGGGCUGAUUGAAAAGACUAUGAAUUUUUGGUUUAUUUCAUUUACAUAAUAGCACCUAUGCACAUGUUUUCAUGAUCAAGAAUUGAUCAACUUAUUCAGCUUUGUCUCUCCAUUGACACUUUUUCUCGGCUCUUCUGAAUUUACCGUUACUCUUAAGUUAAGGAGUAAUUUAUUUUUGUCAAUGAAGCAGAUUCGAGAUGUUCGUCGAGAUUAUCAACUUCCUUCCCUAGUGUGCUUGAGUUGUUGGUAAAUUAACUUUCAAGAGUAAGUAUUCUACUCGUUUUAUCCGCCUCUAUCAAUUUCUUUUUCUGACUUCUGCUUCAUUUAUAGUUGUGUUCUUCGGUGGGUGGAUAUGCUCUAUGUGUUUUGCUGAGGGAUUUUGGCUAUGAAGGAUGUUUUGUAGCUUCGGGUAGAAGUGGAGUUGAGUGCAUUGGAAGCUCGACACUUCCAUCCUAUACUGAUAAGUGCAAUCUUCAGAUCCAUCGGUUGUGAGAAAUUCUACAAAGGACAGAAUAAUUUGAACCAUCAGCAGAUCCCUACUCCUCUAUUGUAAAGCUGUCUCCAUCAGCUCCCUCUGUUUCAACAAUGUCUACCUCUCCUUUAUCAUCAAAAAAUCAGUUGCGUCCUGCCAGUUCUACUUCUUUGCCUCAAUAUUCUUCCAGCCACCAGCUGGGACGACGAGUUUCUGAGAGUCAUAUACCAGGAAUAAAGUCACCUACAUUCUCAAUUUCUGAAGAAUCACCAUCCUUCAUGCUCCCUAAUUGGCGUAAUGAAUCAACCAGGGGCCCCAUUGGUGGAUCAUCGUAUGGAUGGUCUGUAGCAAUUUUUUACCAUGUACCCCACAAAGGUAGGGAUAAGAUCUGUGUACAACCCAACUUUCCCAGAUCCCACCAGAGGGAUCACA